GCUCCUGUGGCUUAGUGGCUAGAACGUCCGCCUUGGAUGCGGAAGGUUGUGGGUUCGAACCCUGGUCGAGUCA
Molecule: non-coding RNA, 73 nt
Organism: Potamilus streckersoni
Lineage: Eukaryota; Metazoa; Mollusca; Bivalvia; Unionida; Unionidae
Source: the annotation of a GenBank genome assembly